GACGAACGCUGGCGGCGUGCUUAACACAUGCAAGUCGAACGGAAAGGCCCUGCUUUUGUGGGGUGCUCGAGUGGCGAACGGGUGAGUAACACGUGAGUAACCUGCCCUUGACUUUGGGAUAACUUCAGGAAACUGGGGCUAAUACCGGAUAGGAGCUCCUGCUGCAUGGUGGGGGUUGGAAAGUUUCGGCGGUUGGGGAUGGACUCGCGGCUUAUCAGCUUGUUGGUGGGGUAGUGGCUUACCAAGGCUUUGACGGGUAGCCGGCCUGAGAGGGUGACCGGCCACAUUGGGACUGCGAUACGGCCCAGACUCCUACGGGAGGCAGCAGUGGGGAAUAUUGCACAAUGGGCGGAAGCCUGAUGCAGCAACGCCGCGUGCGGGAUGACGGCCUUCGGGUUGUAAACCGCUUUCGCCUGUGACGAAGCGGGAGUGACGGUAAUGGGUAAAGAAGCACCGGCUAACUACGUG
Molecule: ribosomal RNA, 468 nt
Filed under: uncultured bacterium
Lineage: Bacteria
Description: partial 16S ribosomal RNA
Rfam family: Bacterial small subunit ribosomal RNA
Source: RNAcentral